RNAcentral lists this long non-coding RNA (476 nucleotides) under Ananas comosus (pineapple). RNAcentral describes it as "long non-coding RNA (ACOM_LNC027359)". Lineage: Eukaryota; Viridiplantae; Streptophyta; Magnoliopsida; Poales; Bromeliaceae. The record is from RNAcentral.
AAUUAAACAAAUGAAAAAGAGAUUUUUUUCUUUGAAUUUUUUUUUUUUUGUUUUUGGGGAAAAUAUAGAAACUUUCUUGUAAAUAUCUAUUUUUUUAUUUUUUCUUCUUAACUUUAAAAAAUCUAUAAGUUGUCCCUUUAAAAUUUCAAAAAUAUUUUUAAGGAGUACAACCUUAAUGGAGAGUGCAAAAGCCACCAAAUUAUCUUUACUUCUUUUAUAAGAAAAAUAUUUUUUUAAUAUAUUUCUAUCAUUUUAAAAGAUAUUUUCGAUAUAAAUUAUAAUAAAUGGACAGAAUAGUAAUAAAACUCUGAUAAAAAGGAGGGGCGCUAAAUAUAAUAACUUAAAAUAUUGAGGAGGUAAAAUAUAAAUUUUUAAAAAUUAUAAAAAAAAAAGUUUAAAAAAAAUUACAUAUUUAUAAGAAAAUUUUCUAUAAUUUAACCAAUAAAAAAGCAGAAAUAGGGGCAUUUUGGGAGUAA